RNAcentral lists this long non-coding RNA (619 nucleotides) under Cricetulus griseus (Chinese hamster). Its description in RNAcentral is "lncRNA (ENSCGRG00015029723.1)". The record is from RNAcentral. Lineage: Eukaryota; Metazoa; Chordata; Mammalia; Rodentia; Cricetidae.
GUGAAAACUAAAAGGUUCGACAGAAGACAAACACAGAAGAUUAGCAAGACAAGACUAUGUUGUGAGGUUUGUGAUUGUGUUGUCCCUACUACUGUUUGCACCAUGCCUUUGGUCAGAUGUCAGUUUUUUUGUUUGUUUUUGGAAUCAUGGAGACAGCCUUGGCUGUCCUGGAAUUCUCUCUGUAGACCACGCUGGCAUUUAACUCACAGAGAUCCACUUGCCUCUACCUCCCGAGUGUUGGGAUUAAAGAGACUGGAUUGGAAUUGAACUUGAUCUAGCCAAGGAUGGUUUUGAACUUCCUCUUACUUCCACCUCCCAAGUGCUGAGAUUACAAGUAAACACCACCACGUUCAGUUUUAUGCAGUUCUGGGCUCAAAUCCAGGGCUUUGUGUAAGUUAGGUGGUCUUGCAGUUUCGUGAUUAGACCUACAAAUUCAAUGUCAGCAAGCUGUCUGUAGAUGACUUCCCUGGAUCUUCAUGAAGAAUGACUUGCUCCUCCAAGAAUCUACCUUUCUGAGGCUCAUAGGCUCUGACUGAGCAUAACCAGAGCUUUGGAUGAGCACCCUUCCACAGCUUUCUCAAUGUCACAGCAUCCAUUAGCAUGGCACUGUCUUCUCACC